AUCACUUCCUGAGAAAGAACAGAUGCAGUUUGGUUUCAUUUACAUGAACUAUAGAGGCUCCUUGUCUUAGCCAGGCAGCCUUUUUUUUUUAUUUAUUUAUUUUUAAUUCCUUUCUUUUUUUUCCCUAAAUAUUUUUUGUAUUUAGGCAGAGGAUCAAGUUGAAGCAUUUCACUCCGCUCGUGAGGAAGCAGCAUCCUUGAAGAGCAAGUUGGAGGAAGCCAUUUCUGAGCAGCAAAGGCUCAGGGAUGUGAGUGCAGCUUUAACAAGCACUUGCCAGUUGCUUCAGGAAAAGGUGGAACACCAGAGAAUGCUGUGCAGAGUUAGAAUCUGCCUAUGGUCUGCUGCCCACCUCAGCUGAACCUAUAAAAGGGAAGCAGCUCUAUUGCUCUAAAGGGCCGUGGAAUGAAGGACCCUCAGAUCUUUUGUCCUGGCACAGUUCCCCUCUGCUAGGUAAGACCUGGUGGUACUGACCAUUUUUCUAUCUCUUUCCUGAAGUACAGGAGGAGUUGAUAGAACAGUAUCAUUAGUGAUAAA
RNAcentral lists this long non-coding RNA (534 nucleotides) under Lepidothrix coronata (blue-crowned manakin). RNAcentral's name for it is "lncRNA (ENSLCOG00000010678.1)". Lineage: Eukaryota; Metazoa; Chordata; Aves; Passeriformes; Pipridae. The record is from RNAcentral.